Molecule: long non-coding RNA, 298 nt
Organism: Catharus ustulatus (Swainson's thrush)
Lineage: Eukaryota; Metazoa; Chordata; Aves; Passeriformes; Turdidae
Exons: 3
Source: RefSeq, a predicted model, not a curated record
GUGAACACAGGGGGAUCUGAUCACCAGUCAGGAACCCGAACUAAAACCAGAAAUCAAAAAGAGGGGAAACGGGCCCAGAGCUCUCGGAUAACCGCGGCAACUUUUCACUCAUAAAACUCGACGUGCACGAAGAAUCCGCGCAGGAAAAGGAACCGUGAGUAUUGCGGGGGGACAGCGUCUUAGCCCAGUCUCGGGAGCUGUGUGCACAUUCCUCCCUGGAGCAGGGAACCCCCGUGAGGAGGAGCCAGAGAUGGGGGCAUCGAACCAGCUGACUGAGACAACAGCCCAGUGAUGGCAG